Molecule: non-coding RNA, 370 nt
Organism: Saimiri boliviensis boliviensis (Bolivian squirrel monkey)
Lineage: Eukaryota; Metazoa; Chordata; Mammalia; Primates; Cebidae
Source: RefSeq, a predicted model, not a curated record
ACUUCAGUUCAGACUAGGCCACGAAGCUCCUUAGUGAGGAGCUGCCAUGCUGGGCCAACAACCAUCUGGUGUCUAAGAAAGACAGCCCAAUUCCUAAGACUCAGGGAAUAGAACACUGCACCUUCCAGAAGUACUUUCUUCUUGGGCACACCACCAGCUAAGAAAGCAGCCUCACGAUGAUUGUUGUUUUAUGGAUGCUUCUCAUUGCAGGAACCAUGUGGAAGGGAUAUAAAUACCCCCCAGGAGGGACCCCAGUGGAAGUAAGCAAGGAUGAUCCUGGUGAACUAAUGCAGCUCUGAAGCUCACCUGACCAGCUGUACAGUUCCUGUUGUUGGUUUCGCAUAAAGUAAUUGCACAUUAUUUUGUCAUA